RNAcentral lists this transfer RNA (74 nucleotides) under Candidatus Omnitrophota bacterium. Its description in RNAcentral is "Candidatus Omnitrophica bacterium tRNA-Gly". It matches the Rfam family "tRNA". Rfam says of the family: Transfer RNA (tRNA) molecules are approximately 80 nucleotides in length. Their secondary structure includes four short double-helical elements and three loops (D, anti-codon, and T loops). Lineage: Bacteria; Pseudomonadati; Candidatus Omnitrophota. The record is from RNAcentral.
GCGGGUGUAGUUCAAUGGUAGAACGCGAGCUUCCCAAGCUCGCAGCGUGGGUUCGAUUCCCAUCACCCGCUCCA